This 46-nucleotide non-coding RNA is filed under the name Schistosoma margrebowiei. The record is from RNAcentral. Lineage: Eukaryota; Metazoa; Platyhelminthes; Trematoda; Strigeidida; Schistosomatidae.
GCAUUACUGAGGAGUCCCACAAGAGAACGAAACGGCCGUCCAAUGC